CCCGGUCUAAUUCAAAAAUUUCCACUAACGCAAGAGGGAUUCCUGCGACUAACGCUAGAGCAAAGGGAAAGGACAAUGAAGCAGCAAUAAACAGAUUGAAGAGCUAUUAGUAUAGCAAGUAUUAAUUCAACAAUUAGUUAGUUUGGGAAGACUGCUUUGCCUGGAUUGAUGGCGAGCCUGGUUCUUUAUGAUCCGGUGACAUCUUUUGGCCUAUUGAGGAACUGGACAUGAUUUAUAUAGCGAAGUUAAGUGUAUGGAUGACAACUUCCUCUCAUACCUCUUUUGGCCUAUUGAGGAACUGGACAUGAUUUAUAUAGCGAAGUUAAGUGUAUGGAUGACUACUUCCUCUGAUACAUGUUAUCUGUAUAUUUUAUAUACAUGGCUUUUGUGUUCUGUCAUGUGCGUUCCUGCUGCAGACUUUUCUAGGAAAUUCACCAUGGGAAUUUAAAUAAUGGUUCCCUGCCCAUCAGUUUACUUUCUUGCAUUUUAUAGGCCACACUUUUCGUAUUUUGUUAAAGAAGUGAACUCAUUCCUAA
This 536-nucleotide long non-coding RNA is filed under the name Triticum aestivum (bread wheat). RNAcentral's name for it is "long non-coding RNA (TAES_LNC024634)". Lineage: Eukaryota; Viridiplantae; Streptophyta; Magnoliopsida; Poales; Poaceae. The record is from RNAcentral.